UACAGACAAUUUAAAAUUUAAAUUUUUUUAGUUUUUUUUGCUAUGAAUAUCAUUUAAGUUUUAUCUGUUGGGCCAAAAAGUAUAAAUAUUUAAUACAAGGCUCCUGAUAUAUUGUUACAAUAGCAGUUGAAAAAUAUUAAAAAUACAUAGGCACAAUUAUUUUUCAUAAUCAUUUACAGAUCAAAUUUUGACAAAAUUUAUCAAAUUUAAAAUUGAAUAAUUAUUUUGUAGUUAAAAUGUAUAAAAUGUUCAACUUUUAUAUCUAAACACAUUUCAAUAAAUACAACUCAGACCGGUCACUUCCAAUGAAAUAAAAUAAGUAGUGAAAUAUCUUCUUGGAGACCAGAGCUCGAAAAUUUUUUUAUAACUAUUGGCGGAAAUGCAGUCAAAGAUAACAUAAAGAGAGUUCUUGCCAACAUUUUGAGUAUUGAGUUUGCCAUACGUUGUUCAUGGACAGGAAGAGGAAAAGAUAUUUCUACAAAAUUAUGUGACACUAAAAUUGUAGUAGUAUUAAAAGGGUGUAUAAGGAAUGGUCAAAAGGAUUAUAGUGAUGCUCUAUUUGAGUCAAUUUUGGCUGAUUGGUUCCGUUAUGCUACAACAAGACACAAAAGAUCAUUAGAAUAAUAUUUCUAUCUUUUUAAUAAUAAUUUAUAUUUUAUGUACCGUGUAAGAAGAUUUUACAUGAAAAUAAAAUAUUUUAUAAAAGUAUUAGGACUUAAUAGUUUAUAUUAAUUACUCAAUCUAAAAAUAUUAUUAUGUUGGUAUUUAUAAAUACCAAAUGUUUGAUUUAGAGAAUGAUUUUUUUGGGGGGCCCAUUUUAUUAAGUACUUAUUUAAUAUUUCUAGAAAAAGAGAAGAAAAGAGCUUUGUCAGAUGACAGGUCGUCACUUGAGAAGAAUUAUACAAGCUGAGCAAGAUAGAUGCACAGCCAAUUUAGGAACUUCUUUGCAACAACCUUCAACUUCCACAAUGAAUAAAAUGUCAGAAGCUACAACUUCUCCUGUGCAAAAUGAAAUUCCAAGUAAAACAUUGGUCCCAAGUUUAUUAACUUGUACUUAUAAUACAAAUAAUAGCGGAGAAUCUUUGUGUUUGAUUGAUAGUACUUUAAUAACUGAGACUGUGAAUAAUAUUGAUAGUACUACUAUUUUAAACGAUAAAAUUGGUAUAUGUGAUAAAUUAAGAACUUGGAAUGUAGAGUUUAAUGGAUCUCAUAAUUGUUUAAACAAAUUAUUAACUAUUUUAAAAAGUGAGGGUCUGGGUGUUCCUUAAGAUGGUAGAACAUUGAUGAAUACGCCUAAAAAGCAUAAUAUUGUGUCUAUGGAACCUGGUGCCUACGUACACUUUGAUAUUAAAAAAAUGAUUAGUUCUCUAUUACAUAGACAUGAAUAUGAUUUAUCUGGCAUUACUGAUAUAAAAUUAGGUGUAAAUGUGGAUGGCUUACCUAUAUCAAAGAGUUCUAAAAGCCAAUUUUAAUUAGUAUUUGUAAUGUACUAGUAUUAUCGAAAUAUGUUAUACCAGUAGGUAAAAACCUGAUUCUUCUAAUGAUUUUUUAAGUGAUAUUUUAAAUAUUAUACAAUUAGGAAUUGAAAUAAAUGAUAUGUUAUUUAAUGUUACAAUAGGACAUAUUGUGUGUGAUGCGCCUGCCAAAUCAUACUUGCUGAUUGUUAAAGGCUUUAACGCAUACUUUGGAUGUAAUACAUGCACUGAUGAAGGUACAUAUUAUAUUGAUGGUAUAAUGGCUUUUUUGUCCAUGGAUUCCUCUCGUAAGGACAAAUGAAAGUUUUAGGAAUAAAACAAAUGAGUAUUACCAUAAAGGACCUAGUAUUCUUGAAAUAUUACCAACUAAUAUAACAGAAGACGUGCCACUUGAUAAUAUGCAUUGUACUUAUAUUGGGGUCACGAAAAAACUUAUUGAAUUCUGGGUGAAAGGAAAAAAAGAUGUACGAUUAUUGGAUGCAACAAAAAAUAAUAUAAAUGACAAUAUUUUAAAUUUAAAAGCUUAUGUACCAUCUGAGUUUUUUAGACUCCCUAGGCUACUUGACGAUUUUUAUUUUUGGAAGGCUACAGAAUUGAGAUGUUGUUUUUGUUGUACUAUGGGCAUAUUGUUUUAAAAGGAAAGGUAAAAAAAACUUUUAUGUACAUUUUUUGCAUUUGGUUACUGCAAUAAGAAUUCUUGUUACACCUGAAACAUGUAUUUCUUUAAAUGCAACCGCUAAAAUAUUACUUCCGUAAAAGAUUAUGCUACUCUAUACGGUCAAAAGUUUUUUAAUUACAAUGUUCAUCUUAAUACAUCUACCAUUUUUUGUUUUAAAACAUGGUCCACUUGAAUCUUUUAGUUGUUUUAAAUAUGAAAACUACUUGCAAGACAUAAAAAAAUUCAUGAAAUGUUCAAGGUUUCCUCUGCAAGAAGUUUCUAGUAGAAUUUAUGAAAAAUUGGACAAAAUUAAAAAUAUUUCACAAUCAAAAUAUCCUAAAUUGUCUAAAGAAUUACCUAAAACUCCUUAUUUAUCAAGUAACAAAGUGUAUGAAAAAGUAGUUUUGGAAAAUUUUUCAACUUUAAACAUAAAUUCCAUAAAUAAUAAUUUCAUCAUGUUAAAAAAUAAUGAUUUGGUUUUUGUUGAACAAAUUCUAUUGACUUCCAACAAUGAAAUCAAAUUUCUUGUCAGAAAAUGUAAUAGUUUUUCAUCUUUUUUUAAUCUACCUAAUUUUUCUUCCAAUGAUAUUGGCUCAUAUAGCAUAGAUCUUCAAUUUAUAAGUACACCUUACCCUAUCCAAGUAAGUGUUCUUAUAUUCAAAUAUCAAUGAAGAAAGCAAUAGUUAUCACUAUGUCAUGAUUUAGAUAUACCACAGUAGUUUUUUUUAAAAUAAUUAUUAUAAUAUUGUGUUGUAUGAUUUUUGGUAAACUCGAGAUGAAUUAAUAUUAAUUUAUUAGGUAAUUUUAUUUAAUGAAAUUAUCAAUUAUUUUUUUUGUGUCAAUUAAAAUUUACGAAUGUUAAUAUCUAACGAAUAUAAUGUACAUACCUUAUCUAUUUGGAGUAAAUAUAUUUAUGUAUAAUGUAUUGUCAUUGAUUAAAUAUACAAUUGUACCUAACUAUAUAUUAA
Long non-coding RNA from Metopolophium dirhodum (rose-grain aphid), 3101 nucleotides. RefSeq lists it as uncharacterized. The record is from RefSeq and is a predicted model, not a curated record. NCBI's taxonomy places the organism in Eukaryota, Metazoa, Arthropoda, Insecta, Hemiptera, Aphididae. The transcript is spliced from 3 exons.